GAUUGGUUGGACUGUUUUGCAAUCAUGUCAUUAUCCAGGUUGUAUUUCUACAGUUCUGUAACUGAAGGUGGACUUUUGACAACAUAAAUGAAAUUGUCACAUCCCAGUGUUUAGAUGAGUUUCAAAUUCUUCUGUAACUAAUGCGCAUUGUCAGAACAGUAAAUGGAUUAUCACUUCCUAUCCAAUUUGUGACUAUUCUAUUUUCGGCUAGAGCAGAUGAUUGACUAACCUGCAAUGCUCGAUUUGAGGUAAUCAAACACUAAAAGAACUCUGAUUUGAUUUUGGAGAACUGAGGUGGAUAGUUUUAUAUGACAUUGUUUAAAUUGCUGCAGAAAUUUUUACCUGUAACUUUUCAAAUCUCAAGAUGAUUUUUCAACUUUUUCAGUGAUGAAAUUGUUGAAUCGACGUUUAAUGUACCUUAUUUUGCGUUCACUGACCAACUUGAUUGACAUAAUGUUAACUAGGAUCUAUUAAUUUUGUGAUCAGACCCUAAGUGAUCAGCUACAUACAGUCUUUUGACAACAAGAGCAGAGGAGGCAAAACAUGGUGUGAUGAGGACCUUGUGGGCAGGCUUCUUUACCCAGCGAGGGUCGUCAGUCUAGCAGAGGUCCAUUCAGUGGUUAAGCUCGCCUUGAGAAGUUUGAUCCGCUCCAGGACAUGGAUGUCAUAGUCACUUCCAUUGAAAUCAACAAUGAAGCUAUAUAUGAUGCUGCCACACCAAUUCUAAAGCAAUAUUUGGGGCGCCAUGUGUGGACGGAAGAGGACAAGCCGAGAUAUACAUAAUUCCCCUACAUGGCAGGUCAAAGGAGAACCGGGUGCAAGGAUCAUGAAAGUCUCAUUUUUUUUAAAGGGUCAAAGCCAACAGUUGAAAGAUUUUGAAUCAAUGGCCAAAAGAACUGAUCAUAACAUAUUGAAUCUGUUGCCUACAUUGGCUUCUAUAUGCAUUUGUUUCCUUCCAAAGUCUCUUUGUAAGCUUGCGAAUCCUUCCAACUAUAGAGCGACUGUUAUCAGUUAGUUGUAAUCGAGAACAUCACACUGCAUUUCC
Molecule: RNA transcript, 1045 nt
Organism: Fragaria vesca subsp. vesca
Lineage: Eukaryota; Viridiplantae; Streptophyta; Magnoliopsida; Rosales; Rosaceae
Exons: 2
Source: RefSeq, a predicted model, not a curated record